RNAcentral lists this transfer RNA (65 nucleotides) under Telchinia lycoa. Its description in RNAcentral is "Acraea lycoa tRNA-His". Lineage: Eukaryota; Metazoa; Arthropoda; Insecta; Lepidoptera; Nymphalidae. The record is from RNAcentral.
ACUUAAAUAGUUUAAAUAAAAUAUUGAUUUGUGAUGUCAAAGAUAUGAAUAACUCAUUUUUAGUU